AGCUCCAAUAGCGUAUAUUAAAGUUGUUGCAGUUAAAAAGCUCGUAGUUGGAUUUCUGUGAGAGUGCCGGUGUCGGCUGACGCUUGUACGCAGGCGCUCUUACAUCCUUCUGUUAACUGUUCAUGGCAUUUUAUUGCUGGUUCAGGGCUCAGAUAUUUUACCUUGAGAAAAUUAGAGUGUUUCAGGCAGGCUUAUGCCGGAAUACAUUAGCAUGGAAUAAUGGAACAGGACCUGUGCGUCUUUCGGGGCGCCGGUCUCCGUUGUUGGUUUCGGGGACUAAUGUAAUGAUUAAUAGGGAUAGUUGGGGGCAUUAGUAUUUAAUAGUCAGAGGUGAAAUUCUCGGAUUUGUUAAAGACUAACUUAUGCGAAAGCAUUUGCCAAGGAUGUUUUCAUUAAUCAA
Molecule: ribosomal RNA, 400 nt
Filed under: phytoplankton environmental sample
Lineage: Eukaryota
Description: partial small subunit ribosomal RNA
Rfam family: Eukaryotic small subunit ribosomal RNA
Source: RNAcentral